UAAGCGGAGGAAAAGAAACUAACUAGGAUUCCCUUAGUAACGGCGAGUGAACCGGGAUGAGCUCAAAUUUGAAAUCUGGCGUCUUUCAGGCGUCCGAGUUGUAAUCUAUAGAGGCGUUUUCCGCGCCGGACCGCGUCCAAGUCUCUUGGAAUAGAGUAUCAAAGAGGGUGACAAUCCCGUACUUGACGCGACAACCGGUGCUCUGUGAUACGUUCUCAAUGAGUCGAGUUGUUUGGGAAUGCAGCUCUAAAUGGGUGGUAAAUUCCAUCUAAGGCUAAAUAUUGGCGAGAGACCGAUAGCGAACAAGUACCGUGAGGGAAAGAUGAAAAGCACUUUGGAAAGAGAGUUAAACAGCACGUGAAAUUGUUAAAAGGGAAACGAUUGAAGUCAGUCGUGUGGGAAGUAUUCAGCCGUCUCUGGCGGUGUAUUUGCUUCUCACGGGUCAACAUCAGUUUGAUCCGGUAGAAAAAGGCGGGAAGAAGGUGGCACCCUCGGGUGUGUUAUAGCUUCCUGUCAUAUGUGCCGGACCAGACUGAGGAACGCAGCUUGCAGCAAUGCCGGGGUUCGCCCACGUACAAGCUUAGGAUGUUGACAUAAUGGCUUUAA
RNAcentral lists this ribosomal RNA (606 nucleotides) under Vishniacozyma carnescens. Its description in RNAcentral is "partial large subunit ribosomal RNA". It matches the Rfam family "Eukaryotic large subunit ribosomal RNA", at positions 47 to 643 of the family's 3401-position model. The record is from RNAcentral. Lineage: Eukaryota; Fungi; Basidiomycota; Tremellomycetes; Tremellales; Bulleribasidiaceae.